CAUGCAGGUCGAGGGGCAGCAUUUUAGUUUGCUUGCAAACUAAAGAUGGCGACCGGCGCACGGGCUGAGCUAACACGCUAUCCAACCUGCCGAUAACUCGGGGAUAGCCUUUCGAAAGAAAGAUUAAUAUCCGAUAGUAUAUUAAAACCGCAUGGUUUUACUAUUAAAGAAUUUCGGUUAUCGAUGGGGAUGCGUUCCAUUAGUUUGUUGGCGGGGUAACGGCCCACCAAGACUACGAUGGAUAGGGGUUCUGAGAGGAAGGUCCCCCACAUUGGAACUGAGACACGGUCCAAACUCNUACGGGAGGCAGCAGUGAGGAAUAUUGGUCAAUGGACGAGAGUCUGAACCAGCCAAGUAGCGGGAAGGAUGACUGCCCUAUGGGGUGGAAACUUCUUUUAAAUGGGAAUAAAAUAUUCCNACGGGUGGGAUUUUGUAUGUACCAUAUGAAUAAGGAUCGGCUAACUCCGUGCCAGCAGCCGCGGUAAUACGGAGGAUCCGAGCGUUAUCCGGAUUUAUUGGGUUUAAAGGGAGCGUAGGUGGAUUGUUAAGUCAGUUGUGAAAGUUUGCGGCUCAACCGUAAAAUUGCAGUUGAAACUGGCAGUCUUGAGUACAGUAGAGGUGGGCGGAAUUCGUGGUGUAGCGGUGAAAUGCUUAGAUAUCACGAAGAACUCCGAUUGCGAAGGCAGCUCACUAGACUGCAACUGACACUGAUGCUCGAAAGUGUGGGUAUCAAACAGGAUUAGAUACCCUGGUAGUCCACACAGUAAACGAUGAAUACUCGCUGUUUGCGAUAUACAGUAAGCGGCCAAGCGAAAGCAUUAAGUAUUCCACCUGGGGAGUACGCCGGCAACGGUGAAACUCAAAGGAAUUGACGGGGGCCCGCACAAGCGGAGGAACAUGUGGUUUAAUUCGAUGAUACGCGAGGAACCUUACCCGGGCUUAAAUUGCAUUUGAAUAAUCUGGAAACAGGUUAGCCGCAAGGCAAAUGUGAAGGUGCUGCAUGGUUGUCGUCAGCUCGUGCCGUGAGGUGUCGGCUUAAGUGCCAUAACGAGCGCAACCCUUAUCUUUAGUUACUAACAGGUCAUGCUGAGGACUCUAGAGAGACUGCCGUCGUAAGAUGUGAGGAAGGUGGGGAUGACGUCAAAUCAGCACGGCCCUUACGUCCGGGGCUACACACGUGUUACAAUGGGGGGUACAGAAGGCAGCUACCUGGCGACAGGAUGCUAAUCCCAAAAACCUCUCUCAGUUCGGAUCGAAGUCUGCAACCCGACUUCGUGAAGCUGGAUUCGCUAGUAAUCGCGCAUCAGCCAUGGCGCGGUGAAUACGUUCCCGGGCCUUGUACACACCGCCCGUCAAGCCAUGAAAGCCGGGGGUACCUGAAGUACGAACCGCAAGGAG
This 1398-nucleotide ribosomal RNA is filed under the name bacterium NLAE-zl-C163. RNAcentral describes it as "16S ribosomal RNA". It matches the Rfam family "Bacterial small subunit ribosomal RNA". The record is from RNAcentral.